GUGCCAGCAGCCGCGGUAAUACGUAGGGGGCGAGCGUUGUCCGGAGUUACUGGGCGUAAAGGGCACGCAGGCGGUGCGGCGCGUUUCGCGUGACAGCGGAGGGCUUAACUCUCCGAGGAUGCGAAAGACGGCGGCACUUGAGGGCCAGAGAGGGACACGGAAUUCCGGGUGGAGUGGUGAAAUGCGUAGAGAUCCGGAGGAACACCGAAGGCGAAGGCAGUGUCCUGGCUGGUGACUGACGCUGAGGUGCGAAAGCUAGGGGAGCGAACGGGAUUAGAUACCCCGGUAGUCC
RNAcentral lists this ribosomal RNA (292 nucleotides) under uncultured bacterium. Its description in RNAcentral is "partial 16S ribosomal RNA". It matches the Rfam family "Bacterial small subunit ribosomal RNA", at positions 505 to 796 of the family's 1533-position model. The record is from RNAcentral.